AACGAACGCUGGCGGCAGGCCUAACACAUGCAAGUCGAGCGGACCUUUCGGGGUCAGCGGCGGACGGGUGAGUAACGCGUGGGAAUAUGCCCUUCUCUACGGAAUAGUCCUGGGAAACUGGGGGUAAUACCGUAUACGCCCUUUGGGGGAAAGAUUGAUCGGGGAAGGAUUAGCCCGCGUUGGAUUAGGUAGUUGGUGGGGUAAUGGCCUACCAAGCCGACGAUCCAUAGCUGGUUUGAGAGGAUGAUCAGCCACACUGGGACUGAGACACGGCCCAGACUCCUACGGGAGGCAGGAGUGGGGAAUCUUAGACAAUGGGGGCAACCCUGAUCUAGCCAGGCCGCGUGAGUGAUGAAGGCCUUAGGGUUGUAAAGCUCGUUCAGCUGGGAAGAUAAUGACGGUACCAGCAGAAGAAGCCCCGGCUAACUCCGUG
This 433-nucleotide ribosomal RNA is filed under the name uncultured bacterium. RNAcentral's name for it is "partial 16S ribosomal RNA". It matches the Rfam family "Bacterial small subunit ribosomal RNA", at positions 29 to 507 of the family's 1533-position model. The record is from RNAcentral.